Apodemus sylvaticus (European woodmouse) is the source of this 366-nucleotide long non-coding RNA. RefSeq lists it as uncharacterized. The record is from RefSeq and is a predicted model, not a curated record. The transcript is spliced from 3 exons. NCBI's taxonomy places the organism in Eukaryota, Metazoa, Chordata, Mammalia, Rodentia, Muridae.
GCGGCAGCUGCACUUCCGCUCCGGCCACCACUUCCGCUCUAGUCCAAGUCCCGCCCCUCCCUGAGUCGACUCCUCAUUGGCUAUCCUGUCUGAUUCAGAAAAGUCUACAAGAGACAUCAGAGACAGCUUUGUAGUUCUGACUGACAUUACAAGAGGAUGCGGUGCCAAAGAGACUUGUGUUCUCCUAGACUGCCUGAAGUAAACUGGUCAUAAAAAUGAGGUCACUGGAAAGGAUGCGAGCAAUCAGCUGCCCCAAGGCUUUGCAGCUGGGACUUCCCUGCCACAGUGACUCUCCUCUGAGACUUGAGCCUAAGGAAACUUGCCCUUUCCAAAGUCGUUUUCAUCAGCCAUUUUAUCCCAGCAAUG